Tyto alba (common barn owl) is the source of this 1003-nucleotide long non-coding RNA. RefSeq lists it as uncharacterized. The transcript is spliced from 3 exons. Lineage: Eukaryota; Metazoa; Chordata; Aves; Strigiformes; Tytonidae. The record is from RefSeq and is a predicted model, not a curated record.
ACUGUCUUUGGAGUUAUUUAGAAGAACAUGAUACCCAAGAAGACCGAGCAGUCUUUGUGCAAACAAUGGACCAGACAGCUGAAGAGAUGCCACAGGAUUUCAGAGAACCACCAAAUGUUUGCAGAUCCUCAAUCUGAGCGAGCCCACCCUUCUGUUUAAUCCAGGUGUUACAGCGGUCCCUCUGUUUGCUUCUUUAUUAGAAUGCCUUUUCCAAUAUUUUAUGCUUCUAUACUACCUUUCAUUGGAGGAAGAGCCCUUCAGUAGAGCCAGAAGAGAAGAAAUUAUCUCAGAUUUACAGGCUGGGAAAACCCAGAGAGAUCUCCUGAUUUGCCUGGGGAUAUGCAAGUCAACAAUAGUGGAAGGCUUGAUAUGUCAAGCAAACUUCAGUGGAGUUAUUCUUGCCUCACACUAAUGGUAACAGGAAAGAGAAGCAAGUUAUUCAUGUUUAAUGUUAUUUUGUGCCAGAUGUUUUGCUGGUAAAAAUCCAUAGCUCCACAGGCACCAAUUUCUUCAGGAUCUGGAAUGUCUGGCCCAAUUUCUUUCUCCAUUCUGGACAGUCUGUGAAGGAAACUGCUUUAUUUUGCAAUAUUGAAUAUUCAUGCUGGGAAGUUAUAAGCAAAAACAAAAUAAUGAGAGACAGGAUCUCUAAUAAGCUUCCUGUCACAUGAGGCUCUGGUUCUCUUGAAUGUGAUUUUAAGAUGUGGUUGCUGACUUGUUUCCAAAAUGUUUGUUGAGUGGUGAUUAGAUUGUGUCAUGCUGAUGUUAUCUCUGUGAUCUCAUUCAAUACAAGUAGUUCUGCAAACAGUGAAAUCUUUUUUCCUAUGGAUUUAUACAUUGGCUUGUGUUUCGGCAUGGAUCCUCUGAUAUUUAAUGGGGAUUGAGUUAAUUUUAGCCUGUUUGUUCAAUGAGAGAUGAAUAAUCUGUCUUCUUUACUUGGCCAUUUACUUUCACAAAACUUGCAGGAAUUAAAUAUCUCAGAGUUGUAAAAUCUGAGUGGGAAUUA